UACGUAGGUGGCAAGCGUUGUCCGGAUUUACUGGGCGUAAAGAGCGCGCAGGCGGUCGUUCAAGUCGCGUGUGAAAGCCCCCGGCUCAACUGGGGAGGGUCACGCGAUACUGAUCGACUGGAAGGCAGGAGAGGGUAGUGGAAUUCCCGGUGUAGUGGUGAAAUGCGUAGAUAUCGGGAGGAACACCAGUGGCGAAGGCGACUACCUGGCCUGUUCUUGACGCUGAGGCGCGAAAGCGUGGGGAGCGAACGGG
Molecule: ribosomal RNA, 253 nt
Filed under: uncultured bacterium
Lineage: Bacteria
Description: partial 16S ribosomal RNA
Rfam family: Bacterial small subunit ribosomal RNA
Source: RNAcentral